CUAUAGGUGCGCCGCUAGUGAACGAUCAGUUGGAUUUUUUAUCUGGAGCUCUCUAGUCAGGCCAAAACAGCUCUGGUAAUCUCUGAAAAAUUCACUUCCCAAAUUCCAAUUUAACACCUUAAGUUUUUCCGUUUCUGAAUCCGUGAAGCCUAGCAACAAUAUGUGCGGUUAUGGAUGCGGUCCCUAUGGCUACGGACCUUCGGGUCCUUGUGGACCAUGGUGCGGACCCUGGUGUAGUCCUUGCGCCCUCUCGCUAGGACCCUAUACCUGCUGUGGACCCAGUGGAUGCGGACCAAGCGGCCCAGCGUGUUGGCCGUAUGGCUUGUACACAUGCUAGGCUUCAGAAGGAUGUCAGAAACGUGUGAGCCAUUACCCAAGAAAUGUAAUACAAGCUCGGACCAUGGCAAUUACAUUGGAUAACAUAAUAAAAAUAA
This is a long non-coding RNA of Drosophila sechellia, 434 nucleotides long. RefSeq lists it as uncharacterized. The transcript is spliced from 3 exons. Lineage: Eukaryota; Metazoa; Arthropoda; Insecta; Diptera; Drosophilidae. The record is from RefSeq and is a predicted model, not a curated record.